AUUGAACGCUGGCGGCAGGCCUAACACAUGCGAGUCGAAUGGUAACAGGAAACAGCUUGCUGUUUCGCUGACGAGUGGCGGACGGGUGAGUAAUGUCUGGGAAACUGCCUGAUGGAGGGGGAUAACUACUGGAAACGGUAGCUAAUACCGCAUAACGUCGCAAGACCAAAGAGGGGGACCUUCGGGCCUCUUGCCAUCAGAUGUGCCCAGGUGGGCUUAGCUGGUAGGUGGGGUAACGGCUCACCUAGGCGACGAUCCCUAGCUGGUCUGAGAGGAUGACCGGCCACACUGGAAGUGGGACACGGACAAGACGCCUACGGGAGGCAGCAGUGGGGAAUAGUGGACAGUGGGGGCAAGCCUGGUGCAGCCAUGCCGCGUGCAUGAAGAAGGCCUUGGGGGUGUAAAGUACUUUCAGCGGGGAGGAAGGGAGUAAAGUUAAUACCUUGGCUCAUUGACGUUACCCGCAGAAGAAGCACCGGCUAACUCCGUG
Molecule: ribosomal RNA, 490 nt
Filed under: uncultured bacterium
Lineage: Bacteria
Description: partial 16S ribosomal RNA
Rfam family: Bacterial small subunit ribosomal RNA
Source: RNAcentral